CGUAGGAUAGUGUAGAGGCAGCAGUGAGGAANAUUGGUCAAUGGGCGAGAGCCUGAACCAGCCAAGUCGCGUGAGGGAAGACGGUCCUACGGAUUGUAAACCUCUUUUGUCGGGGAGCAAUAAAGCGUACGCGUACGCAGAUGCGAGUACCCGAAGAAAAAGCAUCGGCUAACUCCGUGCC
Molecule: ribosomal RNA, 181 nt
Filed under: uncultured bacterium
Lineage: Bacteria
Description: partial 16S ribosomal RNA
Rfam family: Bacterial small subunit ribosomal RNA
Source: RNAcentral